UACGUAGGGUGCAAGCGUUAAUCGGAAUUACUGGGCGUAAAGCGUGCGCAGGCGGUUCCGCAAGUCAGAUGUGAAAUCCCCGGGCUCAACCUGGGAACUGCAUUUGAAACUACGGGGCUAGAGUGUGUCAGAGGGGGGUAGAAUUCCACGUGUAGCAGUGAAAUGCGUAGAGAUGUGGAGGAAUACCGAUGGCGAAGGCAGCCCCCUGGGACAAUACUGACGCUCAUGCACGAAAGCGUGGGGAGCAAACAGG
RNAcentral lists this ribosomal RNA (253 nucleotides) under uncultured bacterium. RNAcentral describes it as "partial 16S ribosomal RNA". It matches the Rfam family "Bacterial small subunit ribosomal RNA", at positions 524 to 776 of the family's 1533-position model. The record is from RNAcentral.